This 1230-nucleotide long non-coding RNA is filed under the name Ananas comosus (pineapple). Its description in RNAcentral is "long non-coding RNA (ACOM_LNC016149)". The record is from RNAcentral. Lineage: Eukaryota; Viridiplantae; Streptophyta; Magnoliopsida; Poales; Bromeliaceae.
CGCCCUAAUCUGCCCUAAAUGGGGUAGUAAACGAGAGAAAAUAAAUGAAUUCGGGACGGAAAAUGAAGUAAUUUUUAUGAUCUGAAACGGAUUCGGAGCAGAAAACGGGAGAAAUUUUGACCCACCUAGAAUCCCCUCGAAUCCGCCCCGUAAUGAUCCGUCCCGAAUUCGCCUAAAAAAUUAUUUAUAUUUUUAAAAAUAUUCCUAAAAAAUAAUGUAGUUAUAAAAAAAUCUAAAAUACAAAUAAAUUAUUACUCUCAUUUCUCAUGUAUUCGAAACUUUUUAAUUUUACUUCGAAUUAUGAUUGAUAUUUUUAUUUUUUAUAAUUGAUGUUGUUAAUUAUAUAUAUAAUAUUAUUAAAAAUUAUUAAUUUAUAUUUUACAAAAUAUUAACAAUAUUAUAAUUUUAUAAAAAAUAUUAGUUGGCGGGACGGAUUGGGGGUGCCGACAAUGGACAGGUUAAUAGGCGGAAUGGAUUAUAAAAUAUACUAGUAUAGGAACCCGCGCGAUGCGGCGGAUAUAAUCAUAUUUGAUUAAAUUUAAUAAUAUAAAAAAUAUUUUAAAACUUUUAGAAUAAAAUUAUAAUUUAAUAAAAAAUAACGAAAGAAAAAAAAAAUUAUAGGAGAAAAAAAUGUGUUACAUAGAAAUCAGACCGCUUUGUAUCUUCAUUUAGGGCAUUCUCUACUAACACCGAUACUUUCGUGAAAUAUCAUAACGCCUUCAACCCUUUUUCAGCAAGUCCUAUACAUUACAAAUAUAAGUGGUCGACAUGGAGGGAGAAAGGUUCGAGGCUAGGGUUAGAGUUCGACUCACUCGACGUUGAAGGUGAGAGCGAGGGCGGUGCGCUUGCGGGCUUGAGGGGAGCGGACGUAGUAGGCGAGGUUGUUGUCGAGAACGCCAUUUGCCGUACCCACAGGCUUCUCGGGUAACGAUUCUUAGAAAAUAGAAACUAAUUAGAGGGAAGUCGAAGUAGCGACGUUACAAAAAAGUAAUUAUGAGAUGGGAAGUUGAAAAGACAUACGUUAUGAAAAAAAAUUAAUAAGAUGGGAAGCCGAAAAGAUAGACGUUACAGGGAAGGAAAGCCGAAGAGACCGCUUAGCCAUUUGGUUCAAAAGAGGGACAAGUGAGAGUGAAAGAUAGGCUGCCACGUGGUAAGAUUAGGGGAAAUAAUGUUAAGGUAUAGAUUUGUUAUCCCAUUACAAAUUUAGAGUGGGAGACGGGACGGAAUUUU